AUUGAACGCUGGCGGCAUGCUUUACACAUGCAAGUCGAACGGUAACAGGUUAAGCUGACGAGUGGCGAACGGGUGAGUAAUGCAUCGGAACGUGCCCGAUCGUGGGGGAUAACGCAGCGAAAGCUGCGCUAAUACCGCAUACGAUCUGAGGAUGAAAGCGGGGGACCGUAAGGCCUCGCGCGAUCGGAGCGGCCGAUGUCAGAUUAGGUAGUUGGUGGGGGAAAGGCUCACCAAGCCAACGAACCGUAGCUGGUCUGAGAGGACGACCAGCCACACUGGGACUGGGGCACGGCCCAGACUCCUACGGGAGGCAGCAGUGGGGAAUUUUGGACAGGGGGCGAAAGCCUGAUCCAGCAAUGCCGCGUGCAGGAAGAAGGCCUUCGGGUUGUAAACUGCUUUUGUACGGAGCGAAAAGGCUCUCUCUAAUACAGGGGGCUCAUGACGGUACCGUAAGAAUAAGCACCGGCUAACUACGUGCCAGCCGCCGCUGUAA
Molecule: ribosomal RNA, 493 nt
Filed under: uncultured bacterium
Lineage: Bacteria
Description: partial 16S ribosomal RNA
Rfam family: Bacterial small subunit ribosomal RNA
Source: RNAcentral